This 300-nucleotide ribosomal RNA is filed under the name uncultured bacterium. Its description in RNAcentral is "bacterial SSU rRNA". It matches the Rfam family "Bacterial small subunit ribosomal RNA", at positions 338 to 655 of the family's 1533-position model. The record is from RNAcentral.
CCUACGGGGGGCAGCAGUGGGGAAUAUUGCACAAUGGGGGGAACCCUGAUGCAGCGACGCCGCGUGGGUGAGGAAGUACUUCGGUAUGUAAAGCCCUAUCAGCAGGGAAGAAAAUGACGGUACCUGACUAAGAAGCCCCGGCUAACUACGUGCCAGCAGCCGCGGUAAUACGUAGGGGGCAAGCGUUAUCCGGAUUUACUGGGUGUACAGGGAGCGUAGACGGCGUGCCAAGUCUGAAGUGAAAGCCCGGGGCUCAACCCCGGGACUGCUUUGGAAACUGCCUGACUGGAGUGCUGGAGA